CCUAUAAGACUGGGAUAACUUCGGGAAACCGGGGCUAAUGCCGGAUAAUAUUUAGAACCGCAUGGUUCUAAAGUGAAAGAUGGUUUUGCUAUCACUUAUAGAUGGACCCGCGCCGUAUUAGCUAGUUGGUGGGGUAAUGGCUUACCAAGGCAACGAUACGUAGCCGACCUGAGAGGGUGAUCGGCCACACUGGAACUGAGACACGGUCCAGACUCCUACGGGAGGCAGCAGUAGGGAAUCUUCCGCAAUGGGCGAAAGCCUGACGGAGCAACGCCGCGUGAGUGAUGAAGGUCUUCGGAUCGUAAAACUCUGUUAUUAGGGAAGAACAAAUGUGUAAGUAACUGUGCACGUCUUGACGGUACCUAAUCAGAAAGCCACGGCUAACUACGUGCCAGCAGCCGCGGUAAUACGUAGGUGGCAAGCGUUAUCCGGAAUUAUUGGGCGUAAAGCGCGCGUAGGCGGUUUCUUAAGUCUGAUGUGAAAGCCCACGGCUCAACCGUGGAGGGUCAUUGGAAACUGGGAAACUUGAGUGCAGAAGAGGAAAGUGGAAUUCCAUGUGUAGCGGUGAAAUGCGCAGAGAUAUGGAGGAACACCAGUGGCGAAGGCGACUUUCUGGUCUGUAACUGACGCUGAUGUGCGAAAGCGUGGGGAUCAAACAGGAUUAGAUACCCUGGUAGUCCACGCCGUAAACGAUGAGUGCUAAGUGUUAGGGGGUUUCCGCCCCUUAGUGCUGCAGCUAACGCAUUAAGCACUCCGCCUGGGGAGUACGACCGCAAGGUUGAAACUCAA
Molecule: ribosomal RNA, 789 nt
Filed under: uncultured Staphylococcus sp.
Lineage: Bacteria; Bacillati; Bacillota; Bacilli; Caryophanales; Staphylococcaceae
Description: bacterial SSU rRNA
Rfam family: Bacterial small subunit ribosomal RNA
Source: RNAcentral